AGAAAGCUGAGUGGCUCUUCGGUGAUUAUCUUGGUGGGAGCUGAGCAGUCUUGAGGGAAGAGCUCUAGGAGUGGCCAAGCCUAAAGAGAUCGUUUGAGCUGAACUUUAUAUUAUUGUUUUCUCUGUUCAUAAAGCCAAACAGCUGGAAGGGAUGGAGACUUGAGGAGCAAACAUUAGAGUCAGAAAUUCUGCUAGAGGUUAUCAUGAGGAUAACUCAUUCGACACUGCACUUGGUCAAGACCAACAGCGAGCAGCUGGAGAGCUCUGCAGCUAAUACGUUAUCCUUUUUCACGGUAGAUGACCUCGAUGGGAACUGGAUCAGGUCCAUAAAGAGCACUUAAUAAGAGAGAAAAUCCUCCGUCACUAACUUGAUAAGUAGUGGUACACUGAUUAGCUCAGUGGCUCUAAAAGGGUCAAGGGCUAUUUAAUUCCACCCAUCCCAUUACUCCAGGAGCCAAAAUAUGAUGGAAAACCAACCAUGCUCUUUGUUUUUGCCUUUGAAGCAUGUGUAAUUUGCAGAGUUUGUUUUUUUCAGUGUGUGCAGGGGUCAUAGCACAUGGUAGAGCAAGGGACUGGGGAUUUCUGGGUUCUAUUUCCCACAAUUAAUUGUGUACUCGCAUUUGGAAGGUGGGUUGCAACCUUUUAAAAUGUUCGGACCAAUGUACUCUAUUCUAACAAAAGCAUGGUGUUUAUAUACUACAUUCUCUAUACCCCUUUAAGCACCGUAUUUCCCUACAGCUGUUACUGCUACUAAGAGAGCCUGCAACUGAACCCCUUUGUUGGAAAACAUCCUGCACUUGAUUUCAGCAACCUCCUUUGUAAGCUUUGUUUGUAAAGGUGAAUUGCCAUAUUGUCAACUGUUAACAUGACCCUCACAGGUGAAGAGAUCCAACUGAAUUGAUAAUUUACUGAGCUUUGUGCAUCACACGCAAUUACAUUUUCCUCACACAUCCCCAAAACCCCUGGUCUGAAAUGCAUUGCUUUAUUAUUACAGCAGUAGUUUGUUAAGAUCUUUGGUCCAUUUAAUGUGAUUAGGUAGCAGCCGUCAAUCCAGAAUGGGUGUGGCCUGUUGAACAUGUGUCCCUUUCUCCUCUAAACCUCUUGGAUCCGCUUUCCUAGCACUUCAAGAUUUAAGGUGUAGAGGGCCUGAGCAUUUGUCACUUCUGUUGAUUUCACUUCUGAAAACUAGGUUCAUAGAGUCUUUCGUAGAGUCUGGAGUGCGCCCAGUCAGUGCUGAAAACAUUUUUAAAAACAAUAGAAAAUGGGAAUCUAAUUUGAGGCUCUGGCACAUGAAACAUCAGGGAUUUAAUAUUUAGGGUGUUCAACAAUGCACGGGUGUAUAGUGAAAUUUUUAAUGGCCCUGACAUUGAUAUGCUAAUUGUACCUCCAGGCCACCACAUUUAUAUAAAAGAAGGGACAAUACAUGUUGCUCUGUUUUUAAAUGUAAACCUCAUUGACCAUUGCAUUUCGCCAGCCUGAAAGUAGGACAAACUCCUCUCUGUUACCAUCAGCGGCUUGUAAUAUCUCAACUGCUGUGAGAUAAAUGAGAAAAUAGGUCACUUUUUUACUCUUCUAUGAUGAUACAAAUAGCGUAAAAUCCAUAGUCUCCUGACAGCUGUGUCAUAACACAAAGCUAUGCACUCUCUCACCCUGGGGCUGUAUGAUAUACUGCACCUGUACCCACACACACAGAAAAGAUGGGGCAGUUCUGUCAGCUUGUGAUCUGGAAAUGAUCUGCCCUGACCCCCUAGGUAUCCAGUAGUCCUCGGCACAUAGUGGCCACUGAUUUAUAACCCUGAUUUUUCAGGUGCUAUGAGAGGUAAAUAUUAAUUAUUAUGUCUGUUGUGCUAUAUGCUCUGUAGGUUCCUGAAAUCCCAUGGAGGGGGGUGGGAAUUGAGGGAAGAGGAACUUCCAGUCCCAUGAUCCUCUCCUAACCCACGACUCAUGGGCCCUAAGAACAUGACCAAUGUAAU
This is a long non-coding RNA of Chelonia mydas (Green sea turtle), 1973 nucleotides long. RefSeq lists it as uncharacterized. The record is from RefSeq and is a predicted model, not a curated record. NCBI's taxonomy places the organism in Eukaryota, Metazoa, Chordata, Testudines, Cheloniidae. The transcript has 3 exons.